Molecule: ribosomal RNA, 418 nt
Filed under: uncultured bacterium
Lineage: Bacteria
Description: bacterial SSU rRNA
Rfam family: Bacterial small subunit ribosomal RNA
Source: RNAcentral
UUGUUCACAAUGGGCGCAAGCCUGAUGACGCAACGCCGCGUGGAGGAUGAAGGUCUUCGGAUUGUAAACUCCUGUUGCCCGGGACGAAAAGCUUCGACCUAACACGUCGAAGUCUGACGGUACCGGGUGAGGAAGCCCCGGCUAACUCUGUGCCCGCAGCCGCGGUAAUACAGAGGGGGCAAGCGUUGUUCGGAAUUACUGGGCGUAAAGGGCGCGUAGGCGGCCACCUAAGUCAGACGUGAAAUCCCUCGGCUCAACCGGGGAACUGCGUCUGAUACUGGGUGGCUUGAAUUCGGGAGAGGAAUGCGGAAUUCCAGGUGUAGCGGUGAAAUGCGUAGAUAUCUGGAGGAACACCGGUGGCGAAGGCGGCAUUCUGGACCGACAUUGACGCUGAGGCGCGAAAGCCAGGGGAGCAAAC